RNAcentral lists this long non-coding RNA (2811 nucleotides) under Dermacentor andersoni. Its description in RNAcentral is "uncharacterized LOC126547857". The record is from RNAcentral. Lineage: Eukaryota; Metazoa; Arthropoda; Arachnida; Ixodida; Ixodidae.
UCCCACCUCAGUAACGAGCUAUCAUUCGAUAGUGCUAACAAGUUGCCUCUGCAUGUUUUAAAAAAUUAUAAAUCAUCACCUUCUACAUUACCUUCAAUCAAACAAAAUGUUUGAUCCAUACCAAUGUGGAUUUAGGGAAGGCCGGUCAACAACUGACCACCUUGCGUGUAUGGAGGCCAAUGUUCACGAGUCUUUGGUCCAUAAACAGUUGUUCUUAUCCCUUUUUCUUAACAUGGAAAAGGCCUGCGACACCACAUGGUGCUAUGGAAUCCUCCAAAACCAGUCGCGAAUGGGUAUCGAGGGUGAACAUGCUGAAUGCUGUUCAGUUAACUUUCGAAAUGUAAUUGAGUUACCUUUCGAAAUGAGAAGGAAGGGCAGUCAGCCCUUCCUUCUCGGAAUCUGGCUGUUUGCAGCUGGAAACAAGCAUCUUUACAGCGGAGGCCUACGCACUAUUGUCAGCUGUAAGACAUAUCAAGGAAAUAAAACUACAGAAAGGAAUAAUAUUUAGAUUUAUUAAGUGUUGUCAAAGUCUUAAUUUCUCUUUGAAAGAAUAAAAAUCCUGUCUUUACUGAACUUUGUUCAAUCAUCCGUGCUUUGUAAGCAUCUCAUCAAACGUAGCCACCCUGCAGCGGUGGUGGUUACGUUAGUGUACGCAAAUUUGAAUCACCCGCCGGUGCAAGCGAAAGCCUCCGUGGGGAAUUUGGGUGCCUUCUGCAGUUUCGUAAACGCAUCGUACGUGAACACCUAGCGCCAUCUCGCUUUGGAUGGCGAAGCUCAAGCACAAACAAUAAUUCAAGAUGGAUGCCUCCGCGUUCUACGGGUCAGCACGUCUCUAAGAUCACUCCUGCUCAAGAGUAGCGACGUCAUGAGCUGAGCAAUUUUUACUAAAAAUUGCUGGUGGAAAUGUGUCGGAUGGCAGCUUCUCCGGCGAUGAGCUGGAUGAGACUAGAAAUAACACCUCAAGAGAGCUAACGACCGGCAACAGGUACUGCUGACAAGGACAGCGAGGACGAGCCCAUGCCACCCCAGCCAUCUCAACCUAAACGCAAAAAGAAAGCAGAAGUGAAAUGUAUUGACAAGAAUUUUACACAUUCAGUCACCAAGAAGCGACUGCUCCACUAGAGCCUCUUAAAUACUUUCUGAAGUAUUUUACAGAAGAAAUGUUCAGCGCGCUAGCCAAGUUCACUAACAUUUAUGCUUUGCAACAAGAGGGAGAUGAGCUGCAGACCACAGCUGAUGAAAUGAAGGUAUUCUUCGGAGUAAUGAUGCGAAUGGCAGUCCUGAAGUACCCAGGAAUACGGAUGUAUUGACAAGAGGAUACAAAGGUUCCCACAAUUGCUGACCCGGUGUAAUGCAAUCGGUUUUUCAAACUCUGGGCCAUGCUCCGUGUGACUGACAUUAAUAGUCCAAGGGACCCUACAUCGACAAAUUUUGGAAAGACCAAUAAUCAGUGCAAUACAAACCCAAUGUCUCAAGCUUGUCCCAUUGCCAGUUCAAAGCAUUGAUGAUCAAAUGAUUCCGUUUACGGGAAGGGUUGUUGUGAAGCAAUUUGUGAAAGGGAAGCCUAACCCGGAAGGGAUUAAAGUGUUCGUUCGCUGUAGUGCUGAUGGCUUGGCCCACGACCUGGAAAUUUACCAGGGGAAAGGCAUGGGCAUAAGUGAGAACCAUUCUCACCUCGGCCUACGGGGUUCUGUUGUGAUAUGGCUUGUAGAACAUGCUCCACAUGGGCACAACAUGAGGGUUUACAUGGAUAACUAUUUUUCCUUUGUGCCCCUCUUGUGGGAACUGAGAGAGGUUGGAAUCUUAUGAAGUGGCACCAUCCGAUCGAACCGUUUCCUCGGAUGCCCCUUGAAAAGCGACAAGGAACUAAAGCAGACAGGGUGCGGUAGCUACGAUAGGAAGGUCAGCGAAGGAGAUAUUGUAAUAGUUAGGUGGGGGGGCAUGACAACGGUCCGGUGAACAUGGUGUCAACAAUCAUUGGCAUCGGAGAGUUGUCAAAGGUGAAAAGGUGGAGCGAGUCACAGAAACAGUUUGUCGAAAUUGACUGCCCGGAAGUCAUUUCACAAUACAGCAGCUUCAUGGGGAGGGGUGUGGACAAAUUAGAUUUUUUUGUCUUUGUACCCCCUGAAAGCCAAGACGAAGAAGUGGUCAGUCUGUGUAAUCUCGUACUUCGUGACAUUUGUAAUGGCUGGAUAGAGUACAUUCGUGAUGCAAAUGAAGAAGGCAUCUCCAAGAAGGACAUAAAAGAUGCGAUGGCCUUCCAAACGGAUGUAGCCUUCAGUCUCAUCGCAAUCACCAAAAGCAAGCGGCCCAAGAGGGGACGGCCGAGCAGUGCUGUGAGGUCAAGUGAUUCUUGGAAGGCACAUAACUACUCCAAUGCCCACAAAGUCCACAAGAUAUGAUGGCAUCAACCACUGGCCAAGGCACGUCGCUACAAACUUUGCUCAACAAUGCAAGAACCACGGAUGCACGUCGAGGUCCCAAGUUUGCUGCCGCAAGUGUGAAGUCUUUCUUUGCUUGUCUGCUGCAAACGACUGCUUUUACGAAUUUCAUACCAAAAUCUGAAAUCCUGUUUUGUAGUGCUCAACUGUUUCCAAAAAAAAAUGUUUUAUUUGCACAAGCAAAUUACCAGAAAGAAGCAGUUUCUAACCGUAAAGCCUUCCUCCUAGACAAAAGCUGGAAGGUUAUGAUUGAGGCGCGAUGUGCACAAUUGUGCAUGCAACAAAAGUUUUUGUAUAAACAAAAAAAAAACAAUUGUAGGAAACUUUUUUUUCUUUUGUGGGUGUUUAAUAAAGUUCCUUUUGAAAAGAA